Pteropus alecto (black flying fox) is the source of this 297-nucleotide long non-coding RNA. RefSeq lists it as uncharacterized. The record is from RefSeq and is a predicted model, not a curated record. The transcript has 3 exons. NCBI's taxonomy places the organism in Eukaryota, Metazoa, Chordata, Mammalia, Chiroptera, Pteropodidae.
CAUGGAUGAACCCUGAGGACAUCAUACUAAGUGAAACAAGCUAGUUACAAAAAUGACUUCCCAAACGUGAGUGCCUACUUAAGUGCCUGGCACAGUUUUCAGCACUGGAGACAUCAAUGGGAACAAAACCGAGGAGGACAGCAUCAUCAAAGGAUCACAAGAUGGGUAUAGAAUUGUAAAUGAAGGUUGGUCCAUGUUGAGUUUUGGAGGGAGGAACAAGGAAGACAGGUUUAUGUAAUAUUUCGCUGCAUCUGGAGGAUAUCAGCCUGACUUCAACUGACUGAGGAGUGGUUGGUG